This 57-nucleotide ribosomal RNA is filed under the name Usnea aurantiacoatra. Its description in RNAcentral is "partial 26S ribosomal RNA". The record is from RNAcentral. Lineage: Eukaryota; Fungi; Ascomycota; Lecanoromycetes; Lecanorales; Parmeliaceae.
UUGACCUCGGAUCAGGUAGGGAUACCCGCUGAACUUAAGCAUAUCAAUAAAGCGGAG